RNAcentral lists this RNase P RNA (295 nucleotides) under Thermoplasmatales archaeon SG8-52-3. RNAcentral describes it as "RNase P RNA component". It matches the Rfam family "Archaeal RNase P". From Rfam's summary of the family: Ribonuclease P (RNase P) is a ubiquitous endoribonuclease, found in archaea, bacteria and eukarya as well as chloroplasts and mitochondria. The record is from RNAcentral. Lineage: Archaea; Methanobacteriati; Thermoplasmatota; Thermoplasmata; Thermoplasmatales.
GGGCGUAGGUGGACGGUUGACGGCGGAUAUCGCUGAGGAAAGUCCUCCCUCGUUCUGAACCAGGAAACUGUGUAAGCAGUAAAGGCGAGAGUCUUUGCAGAGUCGCAGAAACGACACAGCUCAGGAAUAAUGCUAUGAUUCACUAUAGGUGAUGAGGUCUUCUUGAGAUUUGAUGAAACGGACAAUCUGCUCCUGGAGCAAGUCCAAAGUUUGAGAUCAGUUGUUCAGACUGCUCAUAGGUAGGACGCAUAGUAGAAUACCGUUUAAAACAGAAGGAGGCUUAUGGCCUACACCC